RNAcentral lists this signal recognition particle RNA (266 nucleotides) under Clostridium algidicarnis. RNAcentral describes it as "signal recognition particle sRNA large type". It matches the Rfam family "Bacterial large signal recognition particle RNA". Rfam says of the family: The signal recognition particle (SRP) is a universally conserved ribonucleoprotein involved in the co-translational targeting of proteins to membranes. Lineage: Bacteria; Bacillati; Bacillota; Clostridia; Eubacteriales; Clostridiaceae. The record is from RNAcentral. RNAcentral also lists the same sequence under 1 other name.
CCGUGCUAGAUGGGGAGUUAGCGGUGCCCUAUAACCUGCAAUCCGCUACAGCAGGAUUGAAUUCCUCAUUGCGGCUUCUAUCUUGUAAGGUCUGCCCUGUAAAAGUGGCGUUGAUAGUUGGGUCCCACGCAAUGAAAGCCCAUGAACCCCGUCAGAUUCGGAAGAAAGCAGCGGUAAGUGGAUACUUUCAUGUGCCGUGGAUUAACCUGACUUGAGUUAACUAUACAGGUAACGCUUAUGAGGUUAAGUCAAGGUGAGGUGCACGG